RNAcentral lists this ribosomal RNA (510 nucleotides) under uncultured bacterium. RNAcentral's name for it is "partial 16S ribosomal RNA". It matches the Rfam family "Bacterial small subunit ribosomal RNA", at positions 28 to 507 of the family's 1533-position model. The record is from RNAcentral.
GACGAACGCUGGCGGCGUGCUUAACACAUGCAAGUCGAACGAAGAGCGAUGGAAGCUUGCUUCUAUCAAUCUUAGUGGCGAACGGGUGAGUAACGCGUAAUCAACCUGCCCUUCAGAGGGGGACAACAGUUGGAAACGACUGCUAAUACCGCAUACGAUCUAAUCUCGGCAUCGAGGAUAGAUGAAAGGUGGCCUCUACAUGUAAGCUAUCACUGAAGGAGGGGAUUGCGUCUGAUUAGCUAGUUGGAGGGGUAACGGCCCACCAAGGCGAUGAUCAGUAGCCGGUCUGAGAGGAGGGACGGCCACAUUGGGACUGAGACACGGCCCAGACUCCUACGGGAGGCAGCAGUGGGGAAUCUUCCGCAAUGGACGAAAGUCUGACGGAGCAACGCCGCGUGAGCGAUGACGGCCUUCGGGUUGUAAAGCUCUGUUAAUCGGGACGAAAGGCCUUCUUGCGAAUAGUGAGAAGGAUUGACGGUACCGGAAUAGAAAGCCACGGCUAACUACGUG